Molecule: long non-coding RNA, 1014 nt
Organism: Lagopus muta (rock ptarmigan)
Lineage: Eukaryota; Metazoa; Chordata; Aves; Galliformes; Phasianidae
Exons: 3
Source: RefSeq, a predicted model, not a curated record
CUGUUUUUCUGGAGAAGCCCCUGCCUAUCAGUACAAUCGAGGCAGAACCUGGGAACCUGACAGAGAGCUGAAACUGGCUGCUGCCCCCUGGGCAGGCAAUGAAUGAAUGACUGAAGCAAUGAAUGAAUGAAGCCCCCUCCCAGCCUGGCUGCUCACUGAGAUCAACUCUUGUGGGUGUAUACUUUAAAUCCACUUGUCUGCCCGUUUUAUCCCCGUUGAAUGGGGGAAAUUAAUCUGGAUGCUGCAGCAGGAUGGAGCCAGCAGAGGGAAUGCGAGAGCACUGAUGCAACUCCAUCGUGAGCCUCAGGAAUGGCCACUGGGUGACUCCUAUUAUUAUGAUUAUUCCUAAGUGUCGGUGAUCCAGGCACAUCAAUGAGAGCAAGGAACAGCCAUCAGUCUGGUAAAUGUUGGGGAUGCUGCUAUUGGAGAGGUGUCCCCAUUUGGGAGCCCAUCCCUGAGCACAUCUGUCCCAUGCUCGGUGCCAUCGUGGUCCCCCCAGCCGCAGUGCCACUGCACUGCACCUCAUGCAGAGCAUCCCUGCCCUCCCUGUGCCACAGGGCACAGCAUCUCUUUGGGGCUGAGAGCCCCCAGUAAAGCUCAGCGACCACCAGUGUCACCAAUUUGGGACCCAGUGGGACCCAUCACCAGGGGGACGGUGGUGGCAGUGCUCCUUUCCUGGCCCAGUUCCUGAUAUCCCAUCUCUGUGGAUGUUUGGGUCUAUUCACCCUGGCAGAUGGUAUCUCAGUGCUGUCCUUUUGGGUGACAAACAGGGCUGGUUAAACACAGUCAUCCCUCAAACAGGUUUAAGUGGGUUUUGCUGUAAAAUAAAUUUAUUUCAACAAAACCUUUUUUGAUAAAUUAAACCAGCACCGCUCUGUGUAUAAUUUCUAUAAACAAUCUUCCCCAGUGUUUACCUAACCUGGGCACACAGAAACUCUCGCACAUUAAAUAUGAGAUGAAAAAGGGCUAUGAAAGCUUUACAUGCAUCUUUUCAUGUCAAUGUGCCAUGGGGAA